Molecule: non-coding RNA, 4796 nt
Organism: Podarcis lilfordi (Lilford's wall lizard)
Lineage: Eukaryota; Metazoa; Chordata; Lepidosauria; Squamata; Lacertidae
Source: the annotation of a GenBank genome assembly
GUUCAUGUAAUAUUCUAUAUGAGAGCUGAGCUUUGUAUGCUUGUGUUGAAAUAUGGUAGACCUUAACAUAUUAUUAUUUAGCCUAACUGGAGAUAAUAGAAGCUUCUUCUACAUACUUUUGUACAGCCUCAAAAUCUGCAUUUUUUCAUUUAAAAGAAAAUUGUUGAACUUGAGCUUUCAGAGAUAACUCUGUACAUGUAAAAGAACACAUCUUUUAUGCCAGUCCCAGAGUGCACCAUGUGGAAAAGCAGGCCUGCAAUGCUUUAGUGCAUUUUAAAAAUAAAUGUCUAUAGCAUCCUUCACCUAGCACUUAAUUCACUAAAGAAUUGCAGAUUAGUCUUGACAAAAUAUAUACAAUUUCCUCACUUUACCUAAUAUCACUUUCCCAAACCCGACUUUCAUCCAAAUCUUCAAUAAACUUUUCGCCUUUCAUCCAGUACAUUAAAGGGCUGACUUCUCCACUGUAUCCAAAGAAAGCUCGGCAGGUUAGAUUAGCAGAAUGGCCUGUUGAAAAGAAUUAAUAAAGAAAACAUGUUAUUCCAAAACUGGCGAAAAUGAUUUAUUUUAUUAUCAGCAGCUAAGUAAUGUUUCCCCAUACAGAACCUGAAAGAGCAUAGCUUGAAAGCUGACCUUAGCAUUCGUAACUUUGAAGAAGCAAUUUUUACUCAAAUAUUGUCAAACUAUUGACAGACACAUUAUCUAGUGCGGAAUAUAGAUCUACUAGUUACAAAAGAAUAGAGGCUAAUCUUAGUCCUUGAACUAAGAUUAUCCACAGGCAGCUAACCACAGACAGAUUAAGUAUAUGGUCUUCUUUCAAAGCAUUGAUUUUCCAAAUAUGGGAUGGCCACAGAAUUCAUACACUAUGCCUCUACAAUACACAGAACCCAAGGAUCAUACAAUUAAUGUUUUCCCUUAGAAAGUGAUUUAUCAUACUACAGAUGAGAAUCCUGCAGGCUGCAUUAAAUUAAUGUGGCCCUCAGCCCACCUCUUUCUGUUCCCCCAUACCUCUGCGCAACCACCAACACUCUUGUUAGUAUCAUACAAUCCAACCACAGAGCAUGAUACAUAAAGUGUCAUUAUGGUUUUUGAAGUGCACAUGCUCUUUGGUUGGCUUCAGUUAUGUGGCCCCAAAACACUUUCCUCUUGGGCAGCAGCGGCGCUUCAUGCUCCGGCACCGGGGGUGGAGAGCAGGCAGGGGCGGGGCUCGCGUGCAUCCUGGGGGCAUGGCACGCCACCUGCGGGGGCGUGGCACCCAGCGCGGGUGGGGGAGCAGCCACGAUGGCAUCCCACUGGGAUUGCACUGCUGGGGGCGGUGCGCUCCCCCCCACUCCUUUUCCUCCACCAGUGCAUAGCUGUAAACUUUUCCCUUUUCUUGCGAGGAAUCCUAUUCAGAAUAAGGGAAUUUCCCUUAAAAAAAGUUGACAGCUAUGCACCAGUGCUCUGGGGGAAUGUGGCCCUUGGUGCUCAAAAUGUUGUUGCAUCCCAUCGUCAAAGUAUUACGGGCAGUCACUUAGACCUUAUUUUCCAUUUCUCAUUCUAUAUCACUGAAGCAAUAAUACUGUUUGAGGCAAGCACUACGAGCUCCCAAGGACUUGUAUUUCUAAAUCCAUAAGUGUUAAGUUUCAGCACCAUCACAAUAUACAACAGAAAAAGAUUACUGGUAUCAGAAAAGCACUAGAUCUAAAAUGUCCCAAAGGUAAACUAAAUGAUACAAAGUACACACACACAUAAAAUUCAGACCAGCAUAACCAUGACUAUCUAAAACAAUAACGUGCCGGUGUAUGGAAUGCUGAAAAACUUGUUAAAUAGGUUGCCCUGAAUGAUGACUGACAUCUUUUGGGAAAAGAAGCCAUUUCCACUCUGCAAAACACUCACCCAUCAUUAGAUGUUAUAUUACAAUGGCUUCACUUUAGAUAUUUUAGGUGAACAUGUAAAAAUAUAGUGUGAAUGUGACGAAUGGGAUAGACAUGCAUCAUAAUUGUGCAUUUGUUGCAGGAUCAUCAGUUGAUGUCAAAUCUUGACUUGCUGCUGUGCAAUGGCUGCAAUGACCAUGAGCGUUACUUUUAGCGGAUGGAGUGCAUCUUGGAAUCAAGUAUCCCUCAAAAGAAAGGAAGAAGGCCUCCUUCUGUUUUCCCAUGCCACCAGCCUCACAACUUUUCCUUUGAGUACUUUCCACCCAGCAUCGCUCACCUGUUGAUAUCUAAUCAGUGUACAGACUAAGCUAGCUGGACUGCAGGCCAAGUUAUCCCUUAAUCACCAACCUCAUGCUCAUGGGGGUACUGAGCCAUGAAAGCCUGCUGAGCUUUUCCAGCCAGAAUGAAGCAACCUGCUGAGAUGGAACUUCACACUCAGAGGGUUCCGUCAACCAUUUACAGGUGCAUAUUAAUGUGUGCAUGGUGAUCUUUUAAAAGGAUCUCCUGAAUCAACAAGGAAGGGGGAGGGAGCUAAUGUCAAAAAGACAAACCUCAGAAAAAGAACUCUCUUCUCAUUAAAUUAAUGGGGAUUUCCCCUCCUGGAUGAAAUAUUUAAGUGUAUUUUUAAAGAUGGAAUUCAAAGUUUCUGUUAAAUAUGAAAUAUUUACGCCUGGGAAAUAAAUUAAGAAAGAAGCACCAUCUCCCAGCAAUAUUGUACAGAUUACUGCUGAGCAAGGGCCAUUAAUAUGCCAGGUGUUCCACUAUAAAUUAAUACCGAGGCUGCGGCUGCUGUAUAAUCUAUACUUUCCAGGCUGGCUGAGCUUGACAAUAAACUAUCGAGAAGGUCAGUGGUGGGUCAUGCAGGCAGGAUCUUUGUGACUAGCUACUACUGCUGUUACUGAUGUCCUUGUUUGUUACUUUGAGCUAAUAGCACAAGGAAUAGGGGGUGUUGGUUCUUGCUUUGGGAAGUGCAGUUUCUUAUUUAACAAGGCUAUAUGUACUCCCAAAAGUGAAUCUGUUGCUUUCACUGGAAUUCACACACACGUGCAUCAUGCCACUUGUUGAUGAGAUACAAAAACAUUGCAGACAUCAGAAGGUUAUUAAUAAAAAAAAUUGGGAUGUAAUGCGCACCAAUCUUUCUUCAUAUUAUUUCCCAUAUGUGUGUAUUAGUAAGUGCAGAUUGAGCUUACUGCCAGUUAAGUGUGCAUUCCACUGAAAAAUGCAGCCUCAGCCAUUGUUUCACACACAUGUUUCUAGCUCUCUGCCCUGGGCUCAUCUAUCCUGGAUUAUAGGAAGCAACCAUCAAGGAUCAUCUAUAUUAUGGGGUGUGGGUGGGAAUGGGAUCAGUAUUCUUCAGAACCAAGACCCACAUUUAAUGCAAAAAUGCAUUUUGGAACCCCCCCCCCUUUAAUCAUAUAUUUGCAUGGUGGUAAUGCUGCUGUUAUGACCCACGAUCCAGCUGUGGGUCCAAACCCACCAUUUGAAGAUCAAUGGUCUGGAGAUAAACUUAUUCAGUUUAUUCCGCCCCCCAGAUCUAAGAACAACUCUAGCAAGAUUCACUUCUUCAUGCUUUAGCCAAUCUUUGAGGUUCCUUCAGAUUUUUAAAUGGCAGGUAAUUCAUAGAGAGCCUUAAGCAAUUAUUGCUUUUGCAAAUGCAUUUUUGAGCUAAGCUUUGAACAUCUGGUCUAAAAAUGAUGCAAUUUGGACAAUGACUAGGCACAUUAUGACUCCCGUGAACAACCACAUAUUUCGCUUCUUGCAGAUGCAAUAUCAUUGCACCUCAACGUUUACAGCCUUGUAAAGAGCUUAACUUUACAGUUGCAAUAAAGAUAUAUUUUGUGCCUCUUCCCUCCUACCCCGUAAUUUGCUGCAUCAUGGUCUGAAAUCUCAACUUUCUCCAUGAGCCCAUAAGUGGGUGCUUCCUAAUUCAUGCCCCAACAACAUCUUAAGACAAGUUCAGCAAUAUAUAAAUGACCAUGCGGUGCUGAAGCCAAUAUAAAAUAUUGAGAUGUAAGUGGGUAAGUGAUGGAUAAUAAAAACCGGUUUCCUUAUGUUGUAAAGUAUAAUCACACUUUACCUGAACAAACUAGCAGUACCAACAAACACAUUUCAAAGAUAAACAUACUCUUUCCUUGCUCAAGUUUAUUUAUUUAAACUGGGGGAAAAUCAGGCUAAUCUAGACAACAUGAUUAUGCAGACUCCAGUGAUAAAGAUGCACUUUCUGUUCCAGCUAAUUGGAUUCAGGCAGAGGCUUUAAUCAAAAAGCUUCUCUGUGAUUUAAAAUGAGAGUUUUUCUUGUUAUGUAGCCUGGUUUCAAAGCGAACAGAAUGUGAGGAGGACCUUAGAGCAUCAGAGGGUGUUUGCUUGAAGACAGCCAAUAGCAUCAGCAAUGACAACAUUUGGUCUCACUGCUGUAUUUCUCUAAUUAGUAAAAUGCUGGGCAUUUCCAGGUUGCUGUUGUGGCACCUUUUCUCCACUAGAGGACAGUGCCUAUCCUUCCAAUGACCAAAACAUUUAUUUUUAAUCCAUAGAGAUUGUCUGGUAUAUAAGCUCUUAAUUAAAAACACCAGCAUUCGAAUAAGCUGCUAGUUGUAAUUAGCAAACAGAGAAUGUUUUGUGCUUGAGUAAAAUGUCAUAUUGUAUGGACAGCUUAUAUUUCAUUUGCAGCAUUAGUCAUACAUGUUAGAAUAUCCUGCAAUGACAUCCAUGUUCGUCUCUUAUUUGUGAAGGCUCGUCACUGAAGGAUGUCUAUUUCUUUUGGAAGCAGCAGUAAUUAGCAGAAUAGCUAGGCAGUUUAAAUAAACCCUCAAAGAGACUUUUUGUGAUUUGGAAUCCUGGGCAGUUUUACCCAGGCCUAAUAAUAUGCAUAAACUUGGAAUACAG